UUCCAGCUCCAAUAGCGUAUAUUAAAGUUGUUGCGGUUAAAAAGCUCGUAGUCGAAUUUGUGUCCCGCGUCGCCGGUUCAUCGUCCGCGGUGUUAACUGGCGUUCCGCGGGACGUCCUGCCGGUGGGCUUAGCUCGCAAGGGCGGCCCAACUCAAUCCCGCCGCGGUGCUCUUCACUGAGUGUCGAGGUGGGCCGGCACGUUUACUUUGAACAAAUUAGAGUGCUUAAAGCAGGCUAAAACUUCGCCUGAAUACUGUGUGCAUGGAAUAAUGGAAUAGGACCUCGGUUCUAUUUUGUUGGUUUUCGGAACCCCGAGGUAAUGAUUAAUAGGAACGGAUGG
RNAcentral lists this ribosomal RNA (340 nucleotides) under Exocentrus guttulatus subconjunctus. RNAcentral describes it as "SSU rRNA". It matches the Rfam family "Eukaryotic small subunit ribosomal RNA", at positions 583 to 885 of the family's 1831-position model. The record is from RNAcentral. Lineage: Eukaryota; Metazoa; Arthropoda; Insecta; Coleoptera; Cerambycidae.